UUUCGCCAGAGUAAAUACUUUAUUACUGAAAAAGUUAAGUAUAAACAAUUAGGCAAUUAUUGAAAACAUUUCAACACUUUAAGAGUUUAAUGUGGCCUUGUCAAAUAGUUGCACAACUCAGUUGGUGUACAGUACAUCAGCCAAACUUCACACAUUACAAAAUACAUUUCCAAGACUGUUGUUACAUAAAGCAACAGCAAAGAUUUUUUUUCUACUUUGCUCAAAUUGUAUUGAAUGCUUUAAAUGGGAUGAACAACUGUCAAAUAACAUUCACUGACAUAAAUACUUAUCCAAGGGUGUGGUUGAGCAGCAUUGCUGACCCGCAUGCAAGCUGAUAAAUUCUACGCUCAUUACACACUUGGACCAAACAAUCGAAGCAAUAUCAUUACCAUAAGUGCUUGUGUUAUGCUUUUAAAAACAACGCUCCAUUGUGAACACAGUACAGAAUAACUUCUAUAAGCAUCUCUAGUUCAACAUCAAACUGUCAUUCAAAAAUAAUGAAGCAUCUAUUUGUAAAUAUAUAUUUACAUGUUCAAGUCAAAUGACAAUGAAAGCAAUUAAAAAUUCUUGUUUUCUUUCUGUAGCAGUUAAAGUUAACAUUCACGGUGUAAAGAAUAAUACAAAUUAUUUCCUAUGUGUCAAUGACCAAAACCACAAAAACAGCAAAUAACAAAAAAAAAAAAUUAUAAUGCUUAUAAUGCAUACUUUUAAGAUGAAAAAUAUACUAGUAUUAUAUUUUUAUAAAGGUCAUCUAGUUUUAUAGUUUUCUUUUAUAAACAUCUGUUGAAAGCCAUACAACUCUGAAAGUGUUUUUUUAAAAGCAACCAUUUAAAAAAAAAAAAAAAAGACAAUGAACAAUUAAAAUAAUAGUCCAUUAAUUAGUAUUAAGGUUCUCACAUUGUUCACAGAAUUGUCUUGAUAUUAGCAGCAUGUUUGUAAAAGGACUCUUCUCUGAUUUUGAGGACUGGAUUCAAACCAAGUAAAUCACAAAUACAUAAUAUACAGUUGAAGUCAGAAGUUUACAUACACCUUAGCCAAAUACAGUUAAACUCAGGUUUUCACAAGUCCUGACAUUUAAUCGUAGCAAUCAUUCCCUGUCUUAGGUCAGUUAGGAUCACUACUUUAUUUUAAGAAUGUGAAAUGUCAGAAUAAUAGUAGAGAGAAUGAUUUAUUUCAGCUUUUAUUUCUUUCAUCACAUUCCCAGUGGGUCAGAAGUUAACAUACACUUUGUUAGUAUUUGGUAGCAUUGUCAAUAAAUUGUUUUACUUGGGUAAAAUGUUUUGGGUUGCCUUCCACAAGCUUCUCACAAUAAGUUUCUAGAAUUUUGGCCCAUUCCUCCAGACAGAACUGGUGUAACUGAGUCAGGUUUGUAGGCCUCAGACUGAGGUCAGGGCUUUGUGAUGGCCACACCAAUACCUUGACUUUGUUGUCCUUAAGUCAUUUUGCCACAACUUUGGAGGUAUGCUUGGGGUCAUUGUCCAUUUGGAAGACCCAUUUGCGACGAGCUUUAACUUCAUGGCUGAUGUCUUGAGAUGUUGCUUCAAUAUAUCCACAUAAUUGUCCUUCCUCAUGAUGACAUCUAUUUUGUGAAGUGCACCAGUCCCUCCUGCAGCAAAGCACCCCCACAACAUGAUGCUGCCAUCCCCAUGCUUCACGGUUGGGAUGGUGUUCUUCGGCUUGCAAGCCUCACCCUUUUUCCUCCAAAGCAUAACGAUGGUCAUUAUAGCCAAACAGUUCCAUUUUUGUUUCAUCAAACCAGAGGAUAUUUCUCCAAAAAGUAAGAUUUUUGUCCCCAUGUGCACUUGCAAAUUGUAGUUUGGCUUUUUUAUGGCAGUUUUGGAGCAGUGGCUUCUUCCUUGCUGAGCAGCCUUUCAGGUUAUGUCGAUAUAGGACUCGUUUUACUGUGGAUAUAGAUACUUGUCUACCUGUUUCCUUCAGCAUCUUCACAAGGUCCUUUGCUGUUGUUCUGGGAUUGAUUUGCAUUUUUUACACCAAACUAUGUUCAUCUCUGGGAGACAGAAUACUUAUACUUCCUGAGAGGUAUGAUGGCUGCGUGAUCCCAUGGUGUUUAUACUUGCGUACUAUCAUUUGUACAGAUGAACGUGGUACCUUCAGGUGUAUGGAAAUUGCUCCCAAGGAUGAACCAGACUUGUGGAGGUCCACAAUUUUUUUUUCUGAAGUCUUGGCUGAUUUCUUUUGAUUUUCCCAUGAUGUCAAGCAAAGAGGCACUGAGUUUGAAGGUAGGCCUUAAAAUACAUCCACAGGUACACCUCCAAUUAGCCUACCAGAAGCUAACUGGCUAAUUGCCUAAAGACUUGACAUCAUUUUCAAGCUGCUUAAAGGCACAGUUAACUUAGUGUAUGUAAACUUCUGACCCACUGGAAUUGUGAUAUAGUCAAUUAAAAGUGAAACUGUCUCUGAACAAUUGUUGGAAAAAUUACUCGUGUCAUGCACAAAGUAGAUGUCCUAAACGACUUGCCAAAACUAUAGUUUGCUAAUAUAAAAUUUGUGGAGUGGUUAAAAAAUUAAUUUUAAUGACUUCAACCCAAGAGUAUAUAAACUUCUGACUUCAACUGUAUCUAUAAUUAAUUUCUUACUAGUUGAAAUUCCAAAUACACAUAUCAGCUAUUUACUUCUUUCUAGUAAAAAUGCUAACUAUAAUAUUAUUGAUAUCAAUAAUUACUUUGUUACUAUUGCAAAUGUCCAACCCGAUAUCAAAAAUUGAAUUACAACUAGUAAAAAUGCUAUUUUUCGAUAUCUGUAAAUUCAUUUCAACGUGUUAUAUUUGGUAUUUCCGACAUCUGGAAAUGGAUUUCAGAUAAAUUGAUCAAUAAAUUGAGGAGUAAUUUAAGAUAUCUUAUAAGGCUUUCUUAAUAGUUACAAUCACAUUACAGAUAUCUGAAAUUCAUAUUGCUGCUAGUGGCAAUAUCAAUGCAUGUUAGUGUUUUACUAUAUUUUUACUACUUGAAAUUCCAUUUUUUUUAUGAAGAAUAUGCAUUUCCACGAGUAAUGACUUCAUGUUUUUAGAACGUUUUUAUUAGUGCAAACCUAAAUAAUGAUUUCAAAAAUGAGUAUUUCCACUAUUAGUAAUUCCAUUGCUGAUAUGAAUAAUUAGCAUUUAAACUAGUGAAAAUGUAAUUAGAUAUCAUUAAUUCAUAUAAUGCACACGAUUAUUUCAGCUUGCCAAAUCAUCAAGUGUGUCCAAACUUUUGACUGCAGUGUAUAUUAAACAUGUAAUAUUAUUAACAUUUAAUAAAUGUUUAAAUAAUUUAUCAGCAGUUUAUUAACAAAAUAUUAUAUUUAAGAUUAUGGUUAUAAUAUAAUAACGUGCAAUCAUACAGCUAAUAACUAUGUGUCAGGUGACACACACGUGACUACAGUAAAUCAUGACUAGCCAUUAUUUUUAUCGCAUUGAAUAAGAGGAAGCAGGUGGAACUGGUUAGUCUAAAUGAAAUUUAAGGCCGCAUGUUCCCAGAAUCUUCGUACAAGAACAGACCCGAAAAUCAAGUCAUGUUAUGUAAAUUAUUUAAAUGCUUAAAUGUUAUACCCACAUGAAGUGCAUAGCAUGACUCAUUCACUUCAAGGACUACCACUUCACAUUAGAUCUCUCGAUUUACAUGCAUUUAUUUACACAAACACACUUUAAACGAGAAACUGACAGUAAUCCGCUGUUGUGUAAGCAGAUAUAUUAGAUUUAAGACACACCAAAACAGUACACCCGCCUUUUUUGGUUUUUGCGUCAGGCGUUUGUAGGAAACCAAAAAGCUAAUCUGUUAUUUUUCAGAAAUAAAAAAAUACAAACUGCGUCUUUAUCUUGACAAUUUCGUUAAUCACAGGUAAUAAACCAUUUGAACAGUUAGGAAACACAGAUAAAAAUCAGCCUAACACCUUGCUUGGAAAUGAGAAAACACCUCAAAUAUAGUCUCUAAAACGAAAACUCUAUAUUUGAUCGCAAAAGGAUACUGAAGACAGUUCUCUCCCAUGGUUCCAACAUAUAAAGCGCCGUUACGAGCAGAUAUUGGUAAUAAAACCACGAAAGUUGUUUCCAGGUAUCUCCAAACGCCAUGUUUUCCCUCUGCUCGUGUUGGUCCCGCCGCUCCCUUCCGGUCGAACUUUCAGCAGCGCUGAUUGGUGGAUCGAGAUUGAAACAAAAUAAAAGUCCCGCUACUGAAGUGGCCCGUUGGACUUUUUUAUCAAGAGGGUUACAAUUUAUUUGAAUGUGUAAGUGAAAAUUAAUAUGCAAGGUAAAAUGUAGGCACAGGCUAUUUGUAAAAGGCACAAAAAGCAUCUUAUUUGCACCCUAGUGCAAAUAGACCUUUUUCACAGACUGUGAUGACGCGUUUCCACCUUAUUUAGCAGCGUAAAUCUAGUGAACUAUUUUAUAUGAUCAUUUUUUAGAAAUAUUGAGUACAAGUUCAUAACAUUAUGCUUUUUUGGGGGGGGGGCUAUCUAGGGUUGCCACUCGUCCCGUAAAAUAUGGGAUCGUCCCGUAAUUAAAGAUAAAAUGAUGCGUCACGUAUUCUUUUAUCAAUUUUGCCCUGUAUUUAAGCUGGUCAGAUGGCGUCACGGUGAAAUCGUUCCAGAUCGCCAAUUUAACAUCUAAGUUGGAAAAUUUGCCUACGGUGGGUAAGGGACCGUCUGAAAAGUCUACACAUUGUGCUAAAACGUGCUAAUAUUGUGGAGGGUUUGGUAAGGAACCGUCUGAAAAGUCCACAAAUGGUGGAAUUAUUUCUAUAUAAAUGUUCAAUAAGAUCAAACAAUGUAUGAAUACAAUCAUAAAGACAAGUACAGGUGAAGGAAAAAAAUAUAUAAAAUAAAUAUAAAUUAUAAAAAAAAAUUGUAUAAACCAUCCAAAAUGUAUACAUAAUAAGAUAAAGAAGACAAAUAAUCGAAAAAAUUAAAAUAAA
Myxocyprinus asiaticus (Chinese sucker) is the source of this 4907-nucleotide long non-coding RNA. RefSeq lists it as uncharacterized. The record is from RefSeq and is a predicted model, not a curated record. The transcript is spliced from 2 exons. Lineage: Eukaryota; Metazoa; Chordata; Actinopteri; Cypriniformes; Catostomidae.